AGAGUGGAUUGCAGCCAGGGAUGACUUGCCGAUGAUUUUUUUGUAAUUUUCCUAUUAAGGAUUUUGUGUCGGCAAGUUGUCUCUGGCUACAUUUUGCUCUCU
RNAcentral lists this microRNA precursor (102 nucleotides) under Solanum tuberosum (potato). The record is from RNAcentral. Lineage: Eukaryota; Viridiplantae; Streptophyta; Magnoliopsida; Solanales; Solanaceae.